CCUACGGGAGGCUGCAGUGGGGAAUAUUGGACAAUGGGCGAAAGCCUGAUCCAGCCAUGCCGCGUGUGUGAAGAAGGCCUUCGGGUUGUAAAGCACUUUCAGUGGGGAAGAAAGCCUUGGGGCUAAUACCCUCGAGGAAGGACAUCACCCACAGAAGAAGCACCGGCUAACUCCGUGCCAGCAGCCGCGGUAAUACGGAGGGUGCGAGCGUUAAUCGGAAUUACUGGGCGUAAAGCGCGCGUAGGCGGUCUGAUAAGCCGGUUGUGAAAGCCCCGGGCUCAACCUGGGAACGGCAUCCGGAACUGUCAGACUAGAGUGCAGGAGAGGAAGGUAGAAUUCCCGGUGGAGCGGUGAAAUGCGUAGAGAUCGGGAGGAAUACCAGUGGCGAAGGCGGCCUUCUGGACUGACACUGACGCUGAGGUGCGAAAGCGUGGGUAGCAAACAGGAUUAGAUACCCCAGUAGUC
This 465-nucleotide ribosomal RNA is filed under the name Vreelandella stevensii. RNAcentral's name for it is "partial 16S ribosomal RNA". It matches the Rfam family "Bacterial small subunit ribosomal RNA", at positions 338 to 795 of the family's 1533-position model. The record is from RNAcentral. Lineage: Bacteria; Pseudomonadati; Pseudomonadota; Gammaproteobacteria; Oceanospirillales; Halomonadaceae.